UUGGUGCUAGAUCUCAGCAGGUGUGCGGGCCCUUGUUCUCUCUGAGUCUGUGAGGAUGUGGGUAUGCUGCGGCAGGACACAGCUGGAUAGACUGAGGAGCUGAUUUCCUGUAAAGGAAUCUGCCACCCCCACUGUUUUCCCUUUGCAUGAGAACCGUCUUCAAUGAGGAGAACUGGGCUCAGACAUCUAGCAAUCUGAACUUGGAUGCCAGCCAUUUGGGGGAAACUCUAGUUGCCUGGUAUCUGGAGACUUGAGAAGCCUUUGGGAAAUUGGGUCUUGGUGCAAUUCCUGCUGCUGGGAGUAGAAGUAGCUUCUGAACUUACAGGGAGUUGCAACUGCCCCUGCGGAGAGAGUUAGAGCCACUGUCCCUCCAGCUCAUUUCUAGGCAGCACAGAUAAAUGGAGAUUUCCAGUGGCAUUUGGCCAUGUAAAUGCCCCCUGCCCCUUUUUUAUACAUGUUAUGUAUCCUGUUUUGCAAACCACCAGUUAAUAGCAUAUGAAACUAGUGUUCUGUAGAGCACAUUUGGAAACUCUCUAUUAACUGUUAUGAUAGAAUGAUUUUUUAUAUGGCCACAAAUGCUCACAUCUCCCUGUAUCCACACCCUUGGUAAUGUGGUUCUGUGAUUUCUCCCAUUGAAAGGUGAAGUUUUUACCCUACCCUUGAAUCAGUCUAAUGCUGUGAGCUGCUUCUGCUAAUUGAUUUCAGAGGAGGUGACAGUGUGCCAGAUCUUGGCUAAACCUCAAGAGACCUUUGAACUUACAUUUAUUCUCUUGGACCCCUGUGAUCAUCAUGUGAAUAAGCUUGGGCUAGUCUGCUGGGUGCUGGUGAUGGACCAGUCAUCCCUGCUGUCCCAGUCAAAAAUCAGCCAGCCAUCAGAGAAAAGAGUGAAAUAGUGAAUAGUGAAAUAGACCAGCCAACCCUCAGCUAACCACUGACCAGCAGUGCUGACCAUCCUACCCACCACUGAUAAGCCCAGAAGAGGCCAGAACUUCCCAGCUGACCUGCAGAUUUGUGAGCAAAAACAAGUGCUUUAUGUUUUAAGACAUUGAGUUUAGGGGUUCUGGUAGCUUUAAGCUAUUACUACAAUACAGUAAUUGCCACUGACAUAACUACUAAUUUGUGGCUUUUUUAUAUUCCAUUUCUCGUCCAUGAAAUCAAGGCUAAAUAGUGACUUUAUUGAAAGAGAAAAUUGAAUCAUACACAUAAAAAAGAUAAUCAAUGAAGGGUAUCAUACCAAGAAUAUAUGUGUUAACAAAGGAUUAUUGUAGGUGUAUUGUUUUCACUCAACAUGGACAAUUUUGUACAGUCACAGAGCAAUAAUACAAAAUUGUGUCGGGGGGGUAGGGGGAAUUUCAGUGGUACAGAAGAACAUAUACAGGGAGCUAUUUUUCUGACUGACUCUUUCCCAUAGAGCCUCCUCUACUGACUGAAUCCACUGGGUAUCAGGUAAAAUAUACCUGUAAUCAGAGGACAUUUCUGGAGAUUUCUUUCCAUCCUGAUUUUUUUUUUUUAAAUAACCUGUUAUUGUCUGGAAAUAAUAAUGAGUAAUAGUGCAAAAAAAAGUUCUUUUUUUAUUUGGUUAGAAUUUAAGCUUAGCAGGUAGAAAUAGAAUCUUCUCAAAUAGCUAGAUAGAUAAAAACAGUAAAAUGACACAGGAGUACCCCUCCACCCCCCUUGGCCCAAGUUUCUUUCCAAGGGGAACAUAUUGAAGCACAGAGGCCUCUCUCCUCUCAAAAAAGCAUUCAUGGGUAAACAAAUCGGUGCCAUCUUCCCCUUGCCCUGAGAAGCUGUGAGUGCAGCAUAGGGAGAAAGGAUCUAUCUUUCAGGGCAACAAAACAACUGCUACGCUGCUCACAGAAAGCAGGGGCUCACUGGACUGGUGGAAUUCCCAUAUCACACACUCGAGGCACUUAACUAGUGCCUUUGUUGGGAUGCAGCCAGCUAAUUGAAUUUAAAUUAAUGAUGUACAUUUCUUUUAGUUUAAGUUGUUAAACUGUAUUUUCAUGUUUGAUAGUCAUUUGCUAAAUCUUGGGAAAACAUUGCAUGUAUAAUAAUAAGCUUGAAUCCCCUGUAGCAUUAAAAAAAAAGUCUAACCAGUUAUAUAUGAUUUACUCAUUCAAAACACAUCUGUAUUUUAAAGAAACAUUAGUAUAAUCAGAAGAGGGAUUGGGUUAUUGAUUUGAAUUCCAACUCAGAUAUUAUUUAGGAAGACUAUGUCAGAAACAAAAGAUAGGCUUCUUUCUCAAAAUAGAGAAACUUUGGAUCAUUUCUUUCCAAAAAAUAAAUAAAUAAAUAACUUUUCAUGACAUAAUAAUUCUAUUUUUUUUCAUUUAAUCAGACAUAAUUCGUUUUCCUUUUCUUUAACUCUCUGAACCCUAAACAGCAGAGGUAAAAAAUAAUUUACUCAUAGCUAACUAAUUUGAAAAACUAAAUAUGUAAUUUUUUCACAGCACAAAUGACUUGAUUCUUUGCACUUCACUAAUUUGGAAAAAAUGCACAAGGUUGCAAAAAAUUAAUGAAGAGCAUUUAAAGUAGAUUUCUUGAAGUUUUUCUCAUUAUCUGUAUCUAUAGUAAAUUUAUCACAAAACAUAGACAUUAUAUUUCAGUGGGGUUUGUAUUAUACAUAGAUAUGCUUUUUCCUUAUACAUAAUACUGUGGUGGAAAGGACAUGGAAAUAAGGUUCAGAAGACAGGGAUUUUGGUUGCAUCUCAAGCACGUAGGUAUCAGAAAAGCUCAAACUGGUGGCUCAACAUCUCUGUAAGUUAGUUGCUUCAUGUAUUAAAUGGUUAUACUAAUAUUAGGUCGAAAUGUAUGAAACUGUGAAUAUUUGCCUGCUUUUGACCAACAAAAAAAUGACAGUUUUAUAUGGUUCGAAAUACUACUCUGUCUUAUACUGCUAGUGCAUGAAAUAAAUUUUUUUAAGCAUUUUGGAAUACUACCAAAUGUAUGCAAAUGUAAGCUUUUUAUUGUCCUAAUAUGUGUGUGUAUGUUUACACAUAGGAAAAGCAGUUGGUGCAGUUGUAAUAAUAAUUGAUACGGCCUAAUGCCACAUUGAUUUGCCUGGGAUACAAAAAAAACUGAGGGGACUGGAUGGCAUAAACCAGCUUUUAAAAUUGUUCAUUUUUUUCCAUUGCGAAGUUUAAAAUUUGACCUUUACAUUAAAAAAAAAAAUGAACUACAGACUCAUAGCAAGCAAAGGAGUCAUUGCUUAUCUGAAGUCUUUCUUUAACUAUCGGGCAGACACAUGGAUGAACUGGCUUCUCUGCAGCCAUCAUCUGGAUGCAAAGCAUUCAAUAUAUGGUCCAAAUGGUCUUUCCUUCAAGGACAUUUAAACACUAGAUUCUGGUUCUAAAGCAAGCCUUCUUCAGUAUUUACAAGUAACCAAACUAUGGUCUUAGGUCAUCCAGUUCCCCUUGGAACAGGCACAAACACCUAGCUUUCUUUGCUCUCUACUGCACUGUGUCUGCCUGCAUCCCACACCCCACCACCUCCAGCCUGUAGCAUGCCCUGACGAAGCCAGUGGUUUCUCUUUCUUGCUUAGUUGUGCUAGUCUUAGCUCAGCUUUGACUAGCUCUUUGAAUUGAGUUCCUGUGGAAGGAGCCAACACUUCUGCAGAGAUAGACUGAAGAAGCACAUGCCAUGCAGUGAUGGGAUCCAGGGGUCUCAGGAAGAUUUAACAAGUUCUCUUCCUUUCUCAUGGCUUUCUCAUUUAUGAUUCUCUUCUCUCGUGGGGCCCAAUAUUACUGCCUGACCUAGGGUUUUGUGAACUAUUGUACAGUCUUAUAAUUUUUACUUAAACUGGUCUGUGUGGGUUUCUGCCACCUACAAACAUGGAGCUCAUGCUCAGGUGUGUGCCUGUUCCAGGGACACUGCUCUUGCACAGACCUUUGGCUUGUUUACCAGUCACCAGACACAAUCCUUCUCACUUUAGAUUUAUAUCUUGCUAUUAUAAGACUGCUGUAUCAAUAGACAUAUUUUUAAAUGAAUUUAUUUAUCAGACUUAUAUUAUAGUGACUUUUGUUCUUUAAUCAGAAUCACAUUCCCUCCAGUUUUUAACAGAAAAGGCAAGGAUUUAAGAUCAUUAACACUAUUCAAAGGGCUAUGCUAUUAAACUGGAAAGUCCACAUCCAAAGAGGAUUUCCCAGAGCCUUUUAGUAACUGCAGCAUUGUUGGAACAUUUGAGUGGCCUCCUAGGCUGCCUAUUUUGGAGGUAGUAACUCUCAAUGGACACAAUUAAGAAAAAGUCACACUUCAGAGUUGUAUCUUGAAACGCAUGCUUUAUGAUCACCCUAUGAUGAUGUAACUAUAGGUGGUAUGAAGAGUUUUUUCACUGUUAACCCCAAAUCAGAGCUUUUUAAUGUUUGAGAUUGACAAGGGUGGCUCCUAAUAGUUUAAAAACAAAUAUAUAUGAACAAAAAGCAAAAAAUAAAAAUAAAACAUUUUUCCCAGUCUCGCUGCUUCCCAGUGGUAUAAGCAGAGCAAGAUGCAGCAGUGGAUGUUUUUGAGUCUGUUUGGAAAGGUCCUCUUCCAGACCUAUUUUAUGUAACUGUGGCAUGGAUGCCCUUUUGUAUUUCACAAGCAAGAGAAGUCCUUAUAUUGUAGCCUCAUUUAAGGAUAAAAGUGACACUGCACUCUAGGAGAUAUUUCUUGUUUAAACAAGUAACAAGAAGAUUAUCUGAAGGGUAACAGCCAGGUUAUGUACCCCAUAAAAGUACGAAUGAUUUACAAAUAUUUAACAAGGAAAAAACUAAUUAUGCUGCUCCUGUCACAGAGAGGCCAGCCUCAGAAAUGGUAUAAUCAAUAUGGGAAUGUUAGCUGUAAUACAGUCUGUCAGCUUUUUAACC
RNAcentral lists this long non-coding RNA (4844 nucleotides) under Sus scrofa (pig). RNAcentral's name for it is "lncRNA (ENSSSCG00000052686.1)". The record is from RNAcentral. Lineage: Eukaryota; Metazoa; Chordata; Mammalia; Artiodactyla; Suidae.